RNAcentral lists this ribosomal RNA (251 nucleotides) under uncultured bacterium. RNAcentral's name for it is "partial 16S ribosomal RNA". It matches the Rfam family "Bacterial small subunit ribosomal RNA", at positions 524 to 776 of the family's 1533-position model. The record is from RNAcentral.
GACGGGGGGGGCAAGUGUUCUUCGGAAUGACUGGGCGUAAAGGGCACGUAGGCGGUGAAUCGGGUUGAAAGUGAAAGUCGCCAAAAAGUGGCGGAAUGCUCUCGAAACCAAUUCACUUGAGUGAGACAGAGGAGAGUGGAAUUUCGUGUGUAGGGGUGAAAUGCGUAGAGAUCGGGAGGAACACCAGUGGCGAAGGCGGCCUACUGGGCUUUAACUGACGCUGAGGCACGAAAGCGUGGGUAGCAAACAGG